GCCGAAGUGGUGGAAUUGGUAGACACGUGGUGUUCAGGGCGCCAUGGGCUGCGCGCUCGUGAGGGUUCGAGUCCCUCCUUCGGCACCA
RNAcentral lists this transfer RNA (88 nucleotides) under bacterium. RNAcentral describes it as "tRNA-Leu". It matches the Rfam family "tRNA". Rfam says of the family: Transfer RNA (tRNA) molecules are approximately 80 nucleotides in length. Their secondary structure includes four short double-helical elements and three loops (D, anti-codon, and T loops). The record is from RNAcentral. RNAcentral also lists the same sequence under 1 other name.